GAUUCAUCAGACCAGGCCACCAUCUUCUGUUGCUCCAUAGUCUGGUUCUGACAUUUACAUGCCCAUUGUAGGCGCUUUUGGCGGUGGACAGGGGUCAGCAUGGGCACCCUGACUGGUCUGCGGCUACGCAGCCCCAAACGCUGCAAGCUGCGAUGUACUGUGUGUUCUGACACCUGUCUAUCAUAGCCAGCAUUGACUUUUUCAGCAGUAUAUGCUACAGUAGCUCUUCUGGGGAUUUGGACCAGACAGGCUAGCCUUCACUCCCCACACGCAUCAAUGAGCCGUGGGCGACCAUGACCCUGACGCCGGUUCACUGGUUGUCCUUCCUUGGACCACUUUUGGUACUGACCACUGAAUUUUGUACAUGCCAGUCGUCUAGCCAUCACAUUUUCGCCCUUGUCAAAGUCACUCAGAUCUUUACACUUGCCCUUUUUUUCCUGUUUCCAACACAUCAACUUCAAGAACUGACCGUUGACUUGCUGCCUAAUAUAUCCCACCCCAUGACAGGUGCCAUGGUAACGAGAUAAUCAGUGUUAUUCACUUAACCUGUCAGUGGUUUUAAUGUUGUUGCUGAUCGGUGUGUGUGUCUGCCAAAUACACUCAAUUUUGACUAAUAUUUGGUUUUAUCAUUUUUAUGUAAAGUGCCAAACGUUGGCAAAUAUUUUGCCUAUUAAACAGAAGCAAACAUCAUCAUAUAUGUACUAAAAAAAGGAAAUAAGAGGUACUAAUGUGAGUAUUAAUCAUACAUUUAGAUGAAUGUAGCAGUUUUUAUUAUUUUUCCUAUGUGCCUUUAUAAAAGCUACAUGCUAACAGCACAGAGAUGCUUCAGAUGUAACAAAGGUCAAGUUUUAGUAGAUAGAUGCCAUUCAGCUUUCCUCAUGCCCGCUUUGGACACCAAGAUGACAACACGCUGGCAGAUUGUGUGAUUUUGAGAUGACAUCAGAGGGCUUGAAAUAGCAGCAGCAUUAAAGCUUCCAGUCAUGGGAGCCUGCUGCGAGGCCUGCACCCAGGGCAGCCACUUCCAGCUGAGCGGGCGCGAGCGCAGGAGGGACGGACGGGGGCGGAAAAAAAACCCAAAACAAAACAAAGUGACAGAGGAGAUAAUGAAGUGACGGGAGCAGCAACAAGUCAAAGGGGGUCGUUGGCUCGACAUGCUUUUGAGAGCUAAUAUCACACGCAGAGGGGGUGCAAAAUACGAGAGCAGCAAUUAUGUUCUGUCAAAUUAAGUAGUUGUGCUUGAAUAAUUUUCACUGGUAAAUCUCCUUUCUGUCUCUUUAAGUUGACUCCUUUGUUGUGUAAUCAAAGCAUUAAAUAUACAUGAUGCACACGGUAGCUGAACUUGCCGCACAGUAAGUGGUUAUGAGCAGCUUCCUGAAACCUUAAGGCUGAAGUUUACAUUUUUAUGACUUUCACUGUCUUUAGAAGAAAUUUUAUGAAUCUUAUUUUAGCUCGAAAUCCUUUUUAAAAAAGAUGUUUUUGGUGCUUAGUGCAUUGUGCAAUGUUUUUGCACUAUAAUUUCCAGAGCCCACAUGUCAAUAAAACAUUUCCGGUGGUUUUUUGUGGGAUUUUCUGGUGAUAAAGUUUGAGUUUCUGUAUUGUAGAUUGUGUUAGCCAUGAUGGCUUCCAUGCUAACAAACAAAUGUGAAGCUAAAAUUCAAUGUGUGACAAAUGAUUCUUCACCAGAGAGCUAUAAUGUGUUAAAAAAAUAUAAUAAAAAGAGAAAGUUUUCAUGA
Molecule: long non-coding RNA, 1733 nt
Organism: Thunnus maccoyii (southern bluefin tuna)
Lineage: Eukaryota; Metazoa; Chordata; Actinopteri; Scombriformes; Scombridae
Exons: 2
Source: RefSeq, a predicted model, not a curated record